This is a non-coding RNA of Paramuricea clavata, 873 nucleotides long. The record is from the annotation of a GenBank genome assembly. NCBI's taxonomy places the organism in Eukaryota, Metazoa, Cnidaria, Anthozoa, Malacalcyonacea, Plexauridae.
GUGUAUGUCUUCCAUUCCAUGGCUUGAGUUCUUGUGUAUAAAAUGAACAACAGAAAGCUUUGGUACAAUAUCUGACAAUUUAUAAUUUUUGGAUAUGUUUGUCCGGAAAAAAUUUAAGCGUUGCUGAUGUUAGUCCGGGAAAAUUUUUUUUAUUAUUGCCAUCCCUCCCUCCCUGUCAACCCCUCCCUCCCUGUCAACCCCUCCCUUCCCUUCCCUCCUCCCCUGUGACCCAAAUGCCUUUGCAGCCCGCAUCCAGGCUUUGCCUGCGCCAGGCUAACACGUGUAUGAGAUUUUAGCAAUGGCGGGGAAAUUGAAAGAGCUUUAAUAAAAGCCAACAUUAAAUCGAGUUUUAGAUCAAAAUAUUCGUUCUAAAACCUUUAUUUUUUCGAUUUUAUCCAAGUAUAACCACUUAUCUUUAAAGAAUGGACAAUAUUGUGUUUGUAGCGGUUUCAAAAGAGCUGCAAAUUCCUUCAAAAGAUCUCAUUUUGGAAAGCUUACUGAAUUCAACACGUGGUUGAAAUGUGAUGGUUUUUUGGCCUCGAUACCAGCGCCGUAACCUGUUAGAAGUUGCUGAAAAUACUCUGGCGUGUCUGCUUCUAAGGUAUUUGGGCUUGUUCUUGUAAUCUUGUGCUGUUAUAGUUUAAAUUUUGAUGUAUGAAAGAUUUAUCUCAAUUUGCUGGGUUUUAUUAGACCAAAUAUGAAAUUGUUAUCAUGUUUCUCGUCCACAAUUUUCUAAAAUUUGGAGCGGAAUAUUUUCAUUUUUCAUUAUUUUUUGUAUUUGAAUUCUGCUUGUCAAUAAUUUCCUUGACCCAGUAAAAACCCCCAUAAAAAUCUGAAGUAAAUCGGUGUAUAAUUCAUUUUAAUUGAAUACGU